This 478-nucleotide ribosomal RNA is filed under the name uncultured bacterium. RNAcentral describes it as "partial 16S ribosomal RNA". It matches the Rfam family "Bacterial small subunit ribosomal RNA", at positions 28 to 523 of the family's 1533-position model. The record is from RNAcentral.
GACGAACGCUGGCGGCGUGCUUAACACAUGCAAGUCGAACGAUUAAAGCCCCUUCGGGGGUGUAUAGAGUGGCGAACGGGUGAGUAACACGUGGGCAAUCUGCCCCUCACUUCGGGAUAACUCAGGGAAACCUGAGCUAAUACCGGAUACUCCUUGAGGAUCGCAUGGUCUUCUCGGGAAAGCUCCGACGGUGAGGGAUGAGCCCGCGGCCCAUUAGCUUGUUGGUGAGGUAACGGCUCACCAAGGCGACGAUGGGUAGCCGAGCUGAGAGGCUGAUCGGCCACACUGGGACUGAGACACGGCCCAGACUCCUACGGGAGGCAGCAGUGGGGAAUCUUUCGCAAUGGGCGAUAGCCUGACGCAGCAACGCCGCGUGCGGGAUGAAGGCCUUCGGGUUGUAAACCGCUUUCAGCAGGGACGAACAUGACUGUACCUGCAGAAGAAGCCCCGGCUAACUACGUGCCAGCAGCCGCCGCCG